GAUGAACGCUGGCGGCGUGCCUAAUACAUGCAAGUCGAGCGAACAGACGAGGAGCUUGCUCCUCUGACGUUAGCGGCGGACGGGUGAGUAACACGUGGAUAACCUACCUAUAAGACUGGGAUAACUUCGGGAAACCGGAGCUAAUACCGGAUAAUAUAUUGAACCGCAUGGUUCAAUAGUGAAAGACGGUUUUGCUGUCACUUAUAGAUGGAUCCGCGCCGCAUUAGCUAGUUGGUAAGGUAACGGCUUACCAAGGCAACGAUGCGUAGCCGACCUGAGAGGGUGAUCGGCCACACUGGAACUGAGACACGGUCCAGACUCCUACGGGAGGCAGCAGUAGGGAAUCUUCCGCAAUGGGCGAAAGCUUGACGGAGCAACGACGCGUGAGUGAUGAAGGUCUUCGGAUCGUAAAACUCUGUUAUUAGGGAAGAACAAAUGUGUAAGUAACUAUGCACGUCUUGACGGUACCUAAUCAGAAAGCCACGGCUAACUACGUG
Molecule: ribosomal RNA, 497 nt
Filed under: uncultured bacterium
Lineage: Bacteria
Description: partial 16S ribosomal RNA
Rfam family: Bacterial small subunit ribosomal RNA
Source: RNAcentral